CCUACGGGUGGCAGCAGUGAGGAAUAUUGGUCAAUGGGCGUAAGCCUGAACCAGCCAAGUCGCGUGAGGGAUGAAGGUUCUAUGGAUCGUAAACCUCUUUUAUAAGGGAAUAAAGUGUGGGACGUGUCCUAUUUUGUAUGUACCUUAUGAAUAAGGAUCGGCUAACUCCGUGCCAGCAGCAGCGGUAAGACGGAGGAUCCGAGCGUUAUCCGGAUUUAUUGGGUUUAAAGGGUGCGUAGGCGGCCUUUUAAGUCAGCGGUGAAAGUCUGUGGCUCAACCCUAGAAUUGCCUUUGAAACUGGGGGGCUUGAGUAUGUUAGAGGCAGGCGGAAUGCGUGGUGUAGCGGUGAAAUGCUUAGAUAUCACGCAGAACCCCGAUUGCGAAGGCAGCCUGCCAGGCCAUGACUGACGCUGAUGCACGAAAGCGUGGGGAUCAAACAGGAUUAGAUACCCCAGUAGUC
Molecule: ribosomal RNA, 460 nt
Filed under: uncultured bacterium
Lineage: Bacteria
Description: partial 16S ribosomal RNA
Rfam family: Bacterial small subunit ribosomal RNA
Source: RNAcentral